This 116-nucleotide ribosomal RNA is filed under the name Melitaea cinxia (Glanville fritillary). Lineage: Eukaryota; Metazoa; Arthropoda; Insecta; Lepidoptera; Nymphalidae. The record is from RNAcentral.
UUAAACGUCCGUACCACGUCGAAUACACCGGUUCUUGUCCGAUCACCGAAGUUAAGCAACGUCGGGCACGGUCAGUACUUGGAUGGGUGACCGCCUGGGAACAUCGCUUGUUUCAA